Molecule: long non-coding RNA, 1108 nt
Organism: Monopterus albus (swamp eel)
Lineage: Eukaryota; Metazoa; Chordata; Actinopteri; Synbranchiformes; Synbranchidae
Exons: 3
Source: RefSeq, a predicted model, not a curated record
ACGAAUCCGGACAUACUACUCGCCUCGCCUACUGCUUUUCGCCUACUAUACAGUAUGGUAGUAGGCGAUUUCGGACGCAGCCAGGGUUUCGAUACGGAAUGCGGCAGUAAAGUGCGCCUAACGUCACUAGUCACGUGACCAAACCACGCCUCGGCAUAGUGGUCUGAUACAACCGCUUCAUGAGCUACUGCGCAUGUGUGGGAGCCUCGGGUGUCGGGACCAUCAGUACUGACAGGUGGCAGUGACCAGAGGAUCCUGUCUCUGUUGGCUACACACCAUUCUCCAGAUGAUCACCAACAGUGGGGAAACUCGUGCUUUACAUUUUCCCUUCCUUACAAAUUGACAACUACGCUCCCCUACUGAGCUAUGGUGCACCUGAAGACCUGAGUACAUCAACUCCAGAACUUGGAGGCAUGUGGCCCACUGAAGACAACCCAAAACGUUGGGUGUUCACACAACAAACCUCCAGACAAUUCAGAUAAGUAAAUUGUUCAGAGCAUUGUGAAAUGUUGCAUCAGAUUCUUAUUGCUGUGAAUAGCUUCUCAAAGUGAAAUUUAACAUUCCUUUAGUUUAGCAUUGCUUAAAUUGAACCUUUUUACAGGAGUGGUGCUUUACAACUGCAGAGUAAUUUAAAUUGCUGUUGAAGAUCAAAUUUGCAUGGCCUGCAUGGCCCUGUGAUAAACAAAAUGGGAAUUGUUUAAAGUGAAUGUUCCUUACAUGCUCUGACAUCAGCAGUAUGGCCUUUUCUUGGGACUUGCCACCAGUAAUUCAGAGAUGGCAUCUUGUAUUUCAGGUUUUCCUACCCCGAUUUUGUCUAAUUGAUUUGGAACUUUGCAGUGUGUAAGGAUGUCCGUUGUAGAGCAUAUCAUGCUUUAAACUCGAGCUUCUCCAUUUCUCCCUUAGGCAAUGCUUAACCAGAUGUCAUUCUGUGGCCAGUCAGCAGCAUUCAUGAGGACAGGCAGGAUAGACAGGUUUGUUUAUAAAUGGACAAUAUUAUUAUUGAAAUUAAAGCUUUACAAAACUUUUUUUUUUGCAGCCACUCCAUCCCAGCUCAUCCAGCUGCUGAUCUUUUUGGCAAUAUGUGAAAUCCCUACUGGUCAAACCUCAA